CAGCAUGGGAAAAAGAGGAAGACCAGAAGACUCAGCAAGUCACAUGUAGGAUGUAGGGAAAGGUAUCAACAUCAUCCUUGGCAGAGAGAAGGUCAGAGAUCACCCACCUGUUGUGCCCAUGGAGUGUCUCAGGAGAACUCAGGCCGAAGGAAGCCCCUCCAUCCAAAGACUUGGACUUCUCAACUGGAGGUUGCAGGUUCUGCCACAGCAGGAGAGACAGCAGAAGCAAAAAACGAACAAUGAAUCCCAAGCCCCUGCUGCUGUGUAGAUGGGGUUCAAGAGUCCUGCCCUACCAGACAUUAGAGAACACAGGAAGAGCCUGGUGCCUGGAGGGGAGAGGGUGUGGCUGCCCUGACGACGGGAAGGAGGGGCCCUCUCUGUGUUUUGAGUGUAGCCCACAUGACCUGUUUUCUGCUUUAAAAUAAAACAUUAAAAGUCCCAA
Homo sapiens (human) is the source of this 442-nucleotide long non-coding RNA. RefSeq lists it as uncharacterized. The record is from RefSeq and is marked validated. Lineage: Eukaryota; Metazoa; Chordata; Mammalia; Primates; Hominidae. The transcript is spliced from 4 exons.